Pseudopodoces humilis (Tibetan ground-tit) is the source of this 4136-nucleotide non-coding RNA. Lineage: Eukaryota; Metazoa; Chordata; Aves; Passeriformes; Paridae. The record is from RefSeq and is a predicted model, not a curated record.
GGGAGGAAGAGGAGGAGCCCCGCCGCCCCCCGCCCGCCGCAGGAAGCCGCCGGAGGAUGUACGGUAGUGCCGGGGGCCUGGCCGGCACGCCGUGACAGCCCGCCCCAGCACCCCGCUCGCCUCGCCACGGCCGGCCGAACCCCUUCCUGCGGAGGAAACAUGUCCAAGAUGCCGGCCAAGAAGAAGAGCUGCUUCCAGAUCACCAGCGUGACCACGGCGCAGGUGGCCAGCAGCAUCACCGAGGACACCGAGAGCCUGGAUGACCCGGAUGAGUCCCGCACCGAGGACGUGUCUUCUGAAAUCUUUGAUGUUUCCCGAGCCACCGACUACGGCCCCGAGGACGUCUGCGAGCGGAGCUCUUCCGAAGAGACUCUCAACAACGUGGGCGAGGCCGAAACUCCCAGCAGCGUCUCUCCCAAUCUCCUUUUGGACGGACAGCUGGCUGUGGCUGCUGCUGGGGUGGCUGCAGGCCCCAACGGGGGGGCUGUGCCCAAAAGUUCGGCUGUGUCCCUGCCAGCUGUUGCCCCUGGCACUGCUGUGGGGGGAAGCAGCAGUACUCAGGCGGCUCUGCCCUCCACAGGGCCUUCUGCACCCGCUGCCUCCGGGGCCAUGUCUCAGACGGCGGCUGCUGCGUGCAGCUCACGCUUCAGGGUGAUCAAGCUGGACCACGGUACUGGGGAGCCCUACAGGCGAGGCCGAUGGACGUGUAUGGAGUACUAUGACCGGGACUCAGAUGGUGGUGGUGUUCUGAGCAGGACUGGAGAUUGCAUUAGGCACAGCAGCACCUUCGAACAGGCUGCUCAAGAGAGGGACAGUGGCCUCGGUGCCACAGGAGGUUCUGUUGUGAUCUCGGCUGUGCCAGCGUCAACCCAUGGCCCCGAUUCUAUAGCUGACAGCUCCCUGGCUGCUGUGUCACAGCUGCUUCAGACAGAGAAAAUGAACCAGUCCUCUCUACAGCAACCUAAUUUUGUCAUUGGGCAACAGCAGCAGCCGCAGCAGCCCGUAGGUGGGGCCGUGCCUCAGAGUACUGCUCAGCCUGUGUUUUCUGGGGCUUCGGGAGCAAAUCAGCAAAUGAUAGUGCCGCAGCAGCCCCAGCCACAGGUAAAUCCACAGGGUGUUUCACAGGCUGGACCCAACGGGAAAGGCAUGGCACCUCCCAGUGUGACAGUAGGGCAGUCAAGCAUUCCUGUGGCCCAGCAGCAGGUGCAGCAGGCAAAUGUACCAGUGACUCAGCCUCAACAAUUUGCUUAUUCUCAGUCCCAGAUUCCACCAGUGCAUCUACUGCCGACGCAGCCUCCUGGGCAGGCUGAAUACAUGCAGCACAUGACAAUGAUGCAGUCUCAAGGAGCUAUUCAGCAGGCUACUACAAGCUCUGCUCCGAGUACUGUGGCCUCCAGCCUUCCUGUGGGGCAGGUGACGGGCCAGAACCCCUCACCUGUGGGAGCUCCAGUGAUGGGGGUGUCAUCACAGCCCAGCGAAGCAGUCGGACAGGGAUCGGGGUUGAUGCAGAGUGGCCAGGCACAAGCCAGUCAACCUGGCAUCCCACAGCCGGGAGGUGUGGUGCAGCCAGGCCUUGGACAUACGGGGGUUGUGCAACAGAAAUCUGUGACUCAGCAUCCAAUGGGGGGAAGCAGUCAAGUGUCAGGAAUGCCUGGUGCUCCCCAUGCUGUGGUCCCUGGAGUUCAGAGCGUGCCUGCGGUUGUGCCCGGUACAAGCGUGCCUGGUGUGUCCACCACCGCUUCUGUUACUAUGCCAAACGUCCCUGUUACGCUGGUCCAGUCCCAGCUGACGAGCCACCCUUCUGUCAGCAGAAGUGCUGGUGUGGUCCAGUCCCAGCACGUCGGACACUCGAUGAUGCAAGGUGUGCCCAACGCACCCGCCAGUCUGCCUCAGGCAAACCUCGGACAGUUUCAGACCCAGGCCCAGUCCUUAGUAGGCCAGAUCGAUGAUACUAGAAGAAAAUCGGAACCCCUACCUCAGCCACCACUUUCUCUUAUAGCUGAAAAUAAACCUCUUGUGAAGCCUCCCAUUCCAGACACUCUAGCAAAUCCUCUUCAGUUACCUGCAAGUACUCCAAUGAACAGUCUUGCUAGCUCUGUUUUUGGCAUAUCCAUUCCUGUUGAUGGUGAUGAAGACAGGAAUCCGUCAACUGCAUUCUACCAAGCGUUCCAUUUCAACAAGUUACACGAGUCAAAGACCACCUGGGAUAGGAUUUGCAAGUUGAGGCAUUGGCUCUACAGUGGAUGGUGUAUUCACAGAAUGUGUCACUCUCACUUCAUUUGUUCAUCCAAAAAGACUUUAUUUAGGAGAUAUUUGGGGUUUCUUCCUGGCCUUUUCAUAAGGACUGGACUGUAUUUAUAAAUGUCAUUCUGCAGCCAUGGGAUAAAAUAUUUUUAUGCAAACUGGAAUUUGAUGUCAAGAGUUUAGGAUUUGAGAAAAGUAUAAAAUUUUAAGAUUUGGCAGCACAUUUGGAGUUCCCCAUGAGAGUAGCUGUCACUGGAGGGCUCUGCUCAUGAAUGUCCCACAGGAGCUGCUGUUGGGAGCACUGUCAGAUUAAUAAAGAACAAAAGCAUGUGGGAAUUCUAUAGCAUCUAAUUCUCAUCUUCCUUUAGAAAGUGAUAUGAAGUACAGUCAGCUGAUUUUAUCCCGAUGACAAACUGGGGCACCCUGUGUCGGUGUGGAGCUCCUGGUGGGUGUGUGGGGGUCUGUGUGGUCCCAGCCUCUGCCUGCUGAAGCUGGGCUGCGUACAGGGAUCCAGGCUCUGCGUUUCAGUCUUGCUCUGCACAUGGGGGCAGCAAGAGCCUUACAAAGGAGUGUAUAAAGCUGCUUAGAGCUUUCAGCACUGUCGGUGUCGUGCCGAGUGUGGGGUCUGUGUGGUAAGGCAGUGCUUUUCCCGGCUCAUUCCAAUCCCUCUGCAGGGAGGGACGAUUCCUACACCCACCCAACAGGCAGAGGGGAGCUCACAGCAAAAGGUGUGCACAGGGAGGGUGCCUCUGCAGCUCUUUGGGAGGCUAAGGGAAGGCUGCCUGUCUUUCUUAUGGAACUGCUGGAAUGCCUUUACUUGGAGUGAUAUAGCAGAGUUUAUUUUUUAAAAUAAUCACACUACAGAAUAGCUGAAACAGGGAUAGAGCAAAGUUCCAAUCUCAAGUUUGACUAGACAGGUAUUGACAAAAGUUUUACGAUUGUGCUGCAAAGAUGGGGAAGUAGAUCCCCCUGCUAUGGUUGGUGUUUGCUUUAAUUGUUUUAUUUAAUUCUCUUGCUGUUACCUCUUAGAGCUGCCUCAUCUGACCUGUAGGGUGGUGUCUGUAAAGGACUGUGAGAGGACAGGGAGUCUUGGGGAUUUUGUGGUUCAUGGACACAGAUACUUCUGACAGUGCCAGAUGACUCUGAUGCAUGUUAAUUCAACAUGGAAAGGAAUACUUCCCUUGGCAUGAGUUAUAAAGAGCUUUUAUUCUGAGGAGGUUUACCAUAGAUAGGGUUUGAAAGAGGCUUAGAAGACAAUAAGAGACUAGAACAGUUUUCUUCUGAAAUGUGUGUUCAGGGCUUUUGGUUUGGGUUUCAAGAUUGGUUCAGUAGAAAUAGAGGCUGUUAUUCCCUCAGUCUGCAAACCUGAUGCCCUCUGCUUGUAUAAGCCCAGUGCUGGUGCUGACAGUUCUGUGGGAGCCCUUAAAAUUAACUUCUCUGACCAGUAUCACUCUUCAGGAGCUGAGCCAUGUUUCACAUCUGUGACUAGUACUACUGACCACAUUGCCAUACUCUUUGUAAAAAGCCUUGAGUGGUUUUUUUAUUAACACUUGUGUUUGGUGAGUUGCACAAUUCCAGAGAGCUGGCAGGAGGAUCCGGGGAGGAUUCACUGGGAGCCAGGAAGUGGCCGCAGGCUCAGGGCUCUGGCUGUGUCUCACCCUCCUGCUGGCUGCUGCCACAGGCUGCCACAGGAGCUCCUUGCCUGGAAGGUGGACUCAAGUGAAUCCAGAGAACAAGUAUUAUAACAGGAUUUUUUCUUCAUUGCUUUAUAAAAACAGUUUGGAAGAAAUAAUGCUCAUGUGCGUCUGGUGCAAGUGUUGUUGCUAUUGACAACAAAAUAGAGCAGGCAAUGGAUCUAGUGAAAAGCCAUUUGAUGUAUGCAGUGAGGGAAG